This 379-nucleotide unclassified non-coding RNA is filed under the name uncultured bacterium. RNAcentral's name for it is "contains 16S-23S intergenic spacer region". The record is from RNAcentral.
UCCCAGUUAAUCUGGGCAGUCUGACUUGAGUGCUUGGCAAAUGCCAGUGGCAACAAAUCACAAGGGUUGCGCUCGUUGCGGGACUUAACCCAACAUCUCACGACACGAGCUGACGACAGCCAUGCAGCACCUGUGAAAAGCGCGUAUUUCUACGCUGCCCGGCUUUCACCGGGGUUACAAUUCAUGUCAAGCCCUGGUAAGGUUCUUCGCGUUGCAUCGAAUUAAGCCACAUACUCCACCGCUUGUGCGGGUCCCCGUCAAUUUCUUUGAGUUUUAAUCUUGCGACCGUACUCCCCAGGCGGGGUGCUUAAAGCGUUAGCUGCGCCACCGAUGAGCAAGCUCACCAACGGCUAGCACCCAUAGUUUACGGCGUGGACUA